Small nucleolar RNA from Hibiscus syriacus, 108 nucleotides. Lineage: Eukaryota; Viridiplantae; Streptophyta; Magnoliopsida; Malvales; Malvaceae. The record is from RefSeq and is a predicted model, not a curated record.
AAUCUGUGUAUUGGACAUUUUCACAGUAAGUCCAUGAAUCUUUCCCAUGCCUCAUACAAAUUCUCAUCUUUCAGUUGCUUGAAAGAUGUCAAGUCAUUUCGCAACUUU